CCUACGGGCGGCAGCAGUGAGGAAUAUUGGUCAAUGGACGAGAGUCUGAACCAGCCAAGUAGCGUGAAGGAUGACUGCCCUAUGGGUUGUAAACUUCUUUUAUAUGGGAAUAAAAUGUUCCACGUGUGGGAUUUUGUAUGUACCAUAUGCAUAAUGAUCGGCUAACUCCGUGCCAGCAGCCGCGGUAAUCCGGAGGAUCCGAGCGUUAUCCGGAUUUAUUGGGUUUCAAGGGUGCGUAGGUGGAUUGUUAAGUCAGUUGUGAAAGUUUGCGGCUCAACCGUAAAAUUGCAGUUGAAACUGGCAGUCUUGAGUACAGUAGAGGUGGGCGGAAUUCGUGGUGUAGCGGUGAAAUGCUUAGAUAUCACGAAGAACUCCGAUUGCGAAGGCAGCUCACUGGACUGCAACUGACACUGAGGCUCGAAAGUGUGGGUAGCAAACAGGAUUAGAUACCCUUGUAGUC
This 460-nucleotide ribosomal RNA is filed under the name uncultured bacterium. RNAcentral's name for it is "partial 16S ribosomal RNA". It matches the Rfam family "Bacterial small subunit ribosomal RNA", at positions 338 to 795 of the family's 1533-position model. The record is from RNAcentral.